AGCGAACGCUGGCGGCAGGCCGAACACAGGCAAGGAGAACGAACGAGGCGGAGGGAGGGGAGGAAGGGGGAGGAAGAGGGGGGAACGGGCAGGGGGGGGAGGAAGAACGAAGGGAAAACGGGGGGAAGAACGAAGGGGCGCGGCGGGGGAAAGGGGGAGCGCCAUUAGAGCGGCCCGCGGCGGAUUAGCGCGUUGGUGAGGGAACGGCUCACCAGGGCGACGAUCAGUAGCUGGUCUGAGAGGAUGACCAGCCACACUGGGGCUGAGACACGGCCCAGACUCCUACGGGAGGCCGCAGUGGGGAAUCUUGCGCAAUGGGCGAAAGCCUGACGCAGCCCUGCCGCGUGACUGAUGACGGUCUUAGGCUUGUAAAAUUCUUUCACCGGGGACGAUAAUGACGGUACCCGGAGAAGAAGCCCCGGCUAACUUCGUG
This 433-nucleotide ribosomal RNA is filed under the name uncultured bacterium. RNAcentral's name for it is "partial 16S ribosomal RNA". It matches the Rfam family "Bacterial small subunit ribosomal RNA", at positions 30 to 507 of the family's 1533-position model. The record is from RNAcentral.